This is a long non-coding RNA of Carassius gibelio (silver crucian carp), 964 nucleotides long. RefSeq lists it as uncharacterized. The transcript is spliced from 3 exons. The record is from RefSeq and is a predicted model, not a curated record. NCBI's taxonomy places the organism in Eukaryota, Metazoa, Chordata, Actinopteri, Cypriniformes, Cyprinidae.
AACGAUACGAUGCUGCGUUGAAAAAAUACAGCAUUUUAAAACAUAAUUCAAAAUGGCCGACGCCUAAAAUGGCUGACACGGGAAAUUUGCAUAUCAUACGACUCGACAUGACUCACUGAAUCUAAAGAGACCAGUUGUGUGAUUUUUGGCCAAACCAUUCAGAAGAUAUAAGCCAAAAUAUGCAUUUUUCAUAUCUCCUGACCACUAGGUGGCGCUGUGUCGAAACACUGCAGGUAGUCUCAGUUCAUGCUUGUUAUAACACACGCCAAGUUUGGUCUCAAUAUGACAAACCGUUGCCGGGAUAUAGCCUCACGUGCAUGUUUGCGUGCUUUUCGUCAAAUUUGUUUACAUGUCAUUCGACAACAGUUGGACGAAUCAACUUGAAUUCCAUAACUUUUUGCCAGCAUGGUCUGAAGAUGAUCUGAGCCAAUUUUCGUGGCAAUCGGACUAACCGUCUAGGACGAGUUCGAAAAAGUAGGUUUUUCGAAUAAUUGAAAAUAGCGAAAAAACUAAACCUUGCGAUUUUUGAAUUUUGGGAUUCAUUCGACUUGGCAUGAGCCAAGGAUUCAGAGGAAAAAAGAAUUUCCAUUUUCUGGCUUACGGUUCAAAAGUUAUUAGCAUACAAACAUUGAAAGUUUGGACAAGUGGUGGCACUAGAGAGUAGGAGAUAGAGACUUCAAAUUUGCUAUAGUUAAUGUUGGGACUGUCCUCUAUCAGUGUGCCAAAUUAUACAACUUUCCCGCAAUCGGUUCUAUGGGCUGCCAUAGACUUGCGGCGGAAGAAGAAGAAGAAGAAGAAGAAUAAUAAAUAUAGCUGCAAGCAGCAAUAACGGGGCCAAGCACUACAGAAGCAAGCUUCAGACGAAUGGCAGGAAUGAGUAAUUAAGACAGUUUUAAGAUUAUUUUAGGCAAAAUGGCUUAAAAACAAUGAACACAACAACUAGUAAUAGGAUUUAUUGGCUUAU